Molecule: ribosomal RNA, 253 nt
Filed under: uncultured bacterium
Lineage: Bacteria
Description: partial 16S ribosomal RNA
Rfam family: Bacterial small subunit ribosomal RNA
Source: RNAcentral
UACAGAGGUCUCAAGCGUUGUUCGGAUUCAUUGGGCGUAAAGGGUGCGUAGGCGGCGCGGUAAGUCGGGUGUGAAAUCUCGGAGCUUAACUCCGAAACUGCAUUCGAUACUGCCGUGCUUGAGGACUGGAGAGGAGACUGGAAUUUACGGUGUAGCGGUGAAAUGCAUAGAUAUCGUAAGGAAGACCAGUGGCGAAGGCGGGUCUCUGGACAGUUCCUGACGCUGAGGCACGAAGGCCAGGGGAGCAAACGGG